RNAcentral lists this ribosomal RNA (492 nucleotides) under uncultured bacterium. RNAcentral's name for it is "partial 16S ribosomal RNA". It matches the Rfam family "Bacterial small subunit ribosomal RNA", at positions 29 to 507 of the family's 1533-position model. The record is from RNAcentral.
AGUGAACGCUGGCGGUAGGCCUAACACAUGCAAGUCGAACGGCAGCACAGUAAGAGCUUGCUCUUACGGGUGGCGAGUGGCGGACGGGUGAGGAAUACAUCGGAAUCUACUUUUUCGUGGGGGAUAACGUAGGGAAACUUACGCUAAUACCGCAUACGACCUACGGGUGAAAGCAGGGGAUCUUCGGACCUUGCGCGAUUGAAUGAGCCGAUGUCGGAUUAGCUAGUUGGCGGGGUAAAGGCCCACCAAGGCGACGAUCCGUAGCUGGUCUGAGAGGAUGAUCAGCCACACUGGAACUGAGACACGGUCCAGACUCCUACGGGAGGCAGCAGUGGGGAAUAUUGGACAAUGGGCGCAAGCCUGAUCCAGCCAUACCGCGUGGGUGAAGAAGGCCUUCGGGUUGUAAAGCCCUUUUGUUGGGAAAGAAAAGCAGCAGGUCGAUACCCCGCUGUUCUGACGGUACCCAAAGAAUAAGCACCGGCUAACUUCGUG